This 496-nucleotide ribosomal RNA is filed under the name uncultured bacterium. RNAcentral's name for it is "partial 16S ribosomal RNA". It matches the Rfam family "Bacterial small subunit ribosomal RNA", at positions 28 to 507 of the family's 1533-position model. The record is from RNAcentral.
GAUGAACGCUGGCGGCGUGCCUAAUACAUGCAAGUCGAGCGAACAGACGAGGAGCUUGCUCCUCUGACGUUAGCGGCGGACGGGUGAGUAACACGUGGAUAACCUACCUAUAAGACUGGGAUAACUUCGGGAAACCGGAGCUAAUACCGGAUAAUAUAUUGAACCGCAUGGUUCAAUAGUGAAAGACGGUUUUGCUGUCACUUAUAGAUGGAUCCGCGCCGCAUUAGCUAGUUGGUAAGGUAACGGCUUACCAAGGCAACGAUGCGUAGCCGACCUGAGAGGGUGAUCGGCCACACUGGAACUGAGACACGGUCCAGACUCCUACGGGAGGCAGCAGUAGGGAAUCUUCCGCAAUGGGCGAAAGCCUGACGGAGCAACGCCGCGUGAGUGAUGAAGGUCUUCGGAUCGUAAAUCUCUGUUAUUAGGGAAGAACAAAUGUGUAAGUAACUAUGCACGUCUUGACGGUACCUAAUCAGAAAGCACGGCUAACUACGUG